This 79-nucleotide small nucleolar RNA is filed under the name Sorex araneus (European shrew). RNAcentral describes it as "Small nucleolar RNA snoR31 (ENSSARG00000019733.1)". The record is from RNAcentral. Lineage: Eukaryota; Metazoa; Chordata; Mammalia; Eulipotyphla; Soricidae.
GGGCUAGUGAAGCAAAAUUCAUCUAAUCCAACACUUCAUCCUGUUCCAUUCUGUUUUAAUAUUUUCCUCCUCAAUCCAC